Molecule: non-coding RNA, 276 nt
Organism: Vicia faba (fava bean)
Lineage: Eukaryota; Viridiplantae; Streptophyta; Magnoliopsida; Fabales; Fabaceae
Source: the annotation of a GenBank genome assembly
AUGUCAAAACAAGACAUAAACUUCAUCGCCAUAAACUCAUAUCGUCGCUUUACCGUCAUGUUAUAUUCAUCGCUUACUCAUCAGGAAAUUAUCACAUCAUAUUCACUUUAUGUUCAACACAAAAAUCAUCACAAAACAAAGUAUCAUAUAUCAUCGCAAUUCAUCAUAAGCCAUGAAAUAAAACUCAACGCCCAAAGACUCAAAAAUAAACAUAAUCGACUCCAUGAGACACGACUAUGUUAUGCAUGUGGUACCCGUCGUUUUGUCCAUAAUUAG